AUAGUAUGGAUUGGAUUGGGUGAGGGAUGGAGAAUCAAAAAAGUUAAAUUACUUUGGAAACAAUUGUAACAUACUAGGCAGUGGGUGAGAGUGGUUUGGACCAGGUGACAAUUAUUAGAGACCUAUGGAAACUGUGUGAUAAUAAAUUUGUAUUAAUUGGCGGAUUCUUUACCACUGGGCCACCUGGGAAGCCCCCACCAACUAAGAUGGGCGUGAUCCAAUUGAUUGAAGGCCUGAGGAGAACAAAAAGAUGGAGGCAGGGGACAUUUGCUUUCUCUGAGCUGAGACGUUCGUUUCCUCCUGGCCUACUAGAUCAGCACUCCUGGUUCUUGGGCUUUUGGACCCAGAUUGUGAAAUCAGUGCCCCAAUUCUCAGGGCUACGGAUUCCGACUUAACUAUGCCACCAAUCUUCCUGAUUUUUCCAGCUUGCAAGACGGCAGACCAGGGAACUUCUCAGUAUUCAUAACUACAGCAGCAUGGACAUAUCUCAGCCUAUGAUAGUAACAAAGGUCAGUCUAGUCAAGGCUAUGGUUUUUCCAAUGGUCAUGUAUGGAUGUGAGAGUUGGACUGUGAAGAAAGCUGAGUGCCGAAGAAUUGAUGCUUUUGAACUGUGGUGUUGGAGAAGACUCUUGAGAGUCCCUUGGCCUGCAAGAAGAUACAACCAGUCCAUUCUGAAGGAGAUCAGCCCUGGGAUUUCUUUGGAAGGAAUGAUGCUAAAGCUGAAACUCCAGUACUUUGGCCACCUCAUGCGAAGAGUUGACUCAUUGGAAAAGACUCUGAUGCUGGGAGGGAUUGGAGGCAAGAGGAGAAGGGGACGACAGAGGAUGAGAUGGCUGGAUGGCAUCACUGACUCGAUGGGCAUGAGUCUCAGUGAACUCUGGGAGUUGGUGAUGGACAGGGAGGCCUGGUGUGCUGCGAUUCAUGGAGUCGCAAAGAGUUGGACACAACUGAGUGACUGAACUGAACUGAACUGAACAUAUAAUUAGCUCAGUUGGGAAAGAAUCUGCCUGCAGUGCAGGAGACCUGGAUUCGAUCCCUGGGUUGGGAGGAUCCCUGGAGAAGGAAAUGGCGACCCACUCCAGUAUCCUUGCCUGGAAAAUCUCAUGGACAGAGGAGCCUGGUGGGCUGCAGUUCCUGGGGUCGCAAAGAGUUGGGCAUGACUGAGUGACUAACAUAUUAUUUGAAUUACUGUAGCUUUGUAGUGUAGUCUGAAAACAGUGUGCAUGAUACCUCUAUCUCUGUUCUUUUUCAGUGUUGUUUUGGCUCUUUGGGGUCUUCUGUGUUUCCAUACAAAUUUUAAAACUAUUGGUUCUAGUUCUAUGAAAAAUGCCACAAGUAUUUUGAUAAAGAUUGCACCAAAUCUACAGAUAACCUUGGGUAGUAUGAUCAUAUUAACAAUAUUAAUUCUUCUAAUCCAUAAACAUGGUAUAUCUUUUUAUCUAUUUGCAUCAUGUUCAAUUUCUUUCAUCAUGUCUUAUAGUUUUCCAAGUAUAGUUUUUUUUUUUUUUUUUUUUUUUACCUCCUUAGGCAGAUUUAUUCCUAGGUAUUUUAUUAUUUUGGUUUCAAUGAUAAAUGGGGUCUUUCCUUAAUUUGUCUUUUAGUUCAUUGUUAGUGUAUAGACAUGCAACAGAUUACUGCAUAUUAAUUUUAUAUCCUGCAACUUUAUCAAAGUAGUUUUUGGGUAGUGUCUUUAGAAUUUUCUAUGAAUAUAUAGUAUCAUUAGUAUACUAUAUAUAGUAUAAUAUAUAGUAUUAUUUCAUUGGUACACAGUGAGAGUUUUAGCUAUUCCUUCCCAAUUUGGGUUGCUUUUAUUUCUUUUCCUGUCCAAAUGCUGUAACUAGGACUUACAAUUCUAUAUUGAGUUAAAAGUGGUGAGAAUGGGCAUCCUUGUCUUAUUCCUGGUCUUAGAAGAAAUGCUUUCAACUUUUAACCAUUGAGUACGAUAUUAAUUGUGGAUUUAUCAUGUAUGAUCUUUAUUAUAAUAUGUUGAUAUAUGUUCCUUUUAUACCCACCUUCUGGAGAGUUUUUGUUAUAAAUGGAUGUUGAAUUUUGUCAAAAGCUUUCUCUGCAUCAGUUGAGAUGGUCAUAUGGUUUUUAUUCAAUUUGUUAAUGUAGUGUAUCACAUUUGUAGUUCUUUUUUAUUCCUUCUUUUGUUUUCUUGUGAUUCCAUGACUAUUUUUAGUGUUAUGUUUGGAUUCCUUUUUCUUUUGUGUUUGUAUAUCUAUUAUGUAUUUUUGGUCUGUGGUUACCAUGAGGUUUCUGUAUAAUAGUCUGUAUAUAUACAUUAUUUUUUAAGUUGCUAAUCACUUAAUUUCAAAUGCAUUUUAACAAGCCUGCUUUUGUACUGUCCUUCAUGAUUACUGUUGACAUCAUAUUUUAUAUAUAAUUGUGUAUUUCUUAACAGCUUAUUGUAGGUAUAGAUAAUUUUACUACUUUGUCUUUUAAACUUCUUACUAGCUUUGUGCAUGGAAAGUUUACUAAUAACUUCACUGGUAUAUUUGCCUUUAUUGAAGGGUUUUUUUCCUUUCAUAAUUUUCAUGUUUCUAGUAGUGGCUUUUUCUUUUUCACUUAGAGAAGUAGCUUUAACAUGUCUUGUAAAGCUGGUUUGUUGGUGUCAAAAUCUUGGCUUUGUUUGUUUUAUGCUCUCUGAAGCAAAUCUGAAUAAAAACCUUACCUUGUAUAAUACUCUUUUGCUAUAGUUUUUUUCCUUUUAUCGCUGUAAAUAUAUAGUGU
Molecule: long non-coding RNA, 2733 nt
Organism: Bos taurus (domestic cattle)
Lineage: Eukaryota; Metazoa; Chordata; Mammalia; Artiodactyla; Bovidae
Source: Ensembl